RNAcentral lists this ribosomal RNA (261 nucleotides) under Cellulomonas sp. ISOM319_OTU3111. RNAcentral describes it as "partial 16S ribosomal RNA". It matches the Rfam family "Bacterial small subunit ribosomal RNA", at positions 29 to 289 of the family's 1533-position model. The record is from RNAcentral. Lineage: Bacteria; Bacillati; Actinomycetota; Actinomycetes; Micrococcales; Cellulomonadaceae.
ACGAACGCUGGCGGCGUGCUUAACACAUGCAAGUCGAACGGUGAUGGCCAGCUUGCUGGUCUGAUCAGUGGCGAACGGGUGAGUAACACGUGAGCAACCUGCCCUUCACUCUGGAAUAACUACCGGAAACGGUGGCUAAUACCGGAUAUGAGACGUACACGCAUGUGUCGCGUCUGGAAAGAUUUAUCGGUGAAGGAUGGGCUCGCGGCCUAUCAGCUUGUUGGUGGGGUAGUGGCCCACCAAGGCGACGACGGGUAGCCG